UCUCUCUCUCUCUCUCUCAAUUCCCUUCUGAGCUUAUCCAUCCCGAUGCGAGCUCCCGUGCAUUCAAAUGUUCCCGCUACUUUACAGCGUUCGUGCCUACUGCUGAGACAUCUUGGGACAGAGCAGCCUCGCGAACCUCCGGCGAUUAUCACGUUUCACCAGAUUAUUGCCCAUUCCUGGUGCGCUUAAUGCUAUUCGUGGCUCAUUUCAGUGCAUUGGGAGGAUAAGAGCAUAGACUUUAUAGUGAGAGGAGCAGCGAGAAACAAAGAACAACAGUGACAGAUAUAACGACAUUCUCAUCUUUCCACUGCUUUUCAAUUAGAUCAUUUUACGGUUAAACGAACAAAAUGUCAAAAUUAGUAGACUUGAUUUACCAGCGCUGUUUCAAGCGAACGUCAACGUAUGUUUUAAUCAUAUUAGCAAGUUCAUUUUACUUUGAAAGAAGUUUUGAUUUAAUAA
Long non-coding RNA from Ceratosolen solmsi marchali, 459 nucleotides. RefSeq lists it as uncharacterized. The record is from RefSeq and is a predicted model, not a curated record. Lineage: Eukaryota; Metazoa; Arthropoda; Insecta; Hymenoptera; Agaonidae. The transcript is spliced from 2 exons.